UGAAUAUACCAUACGUUGCCUCGGCAGGCUGCAUACGAUUCUCUAGUACAAACCCGGGUGCGUUAAGGCCUGCCGGCGGCCCAUUCUAUGAAUUCUAGUUAUAUUGUUUGGUUCUGAUAUGAAGUAAAUUAUAAGUUAAAACUUUCAACAACGGAUCUCUUGGUUCUGGCAUCGAUGAAGAACGCAGCGAAAUGCGAUAAGUAAUGUGAAUUGCAGAAUUUAGUGAAUCAUCGAAUCUUUGAACGCACAUUGCGCCCAUUAGUAUUCUAGUGGGCAUGCCUGUUCGAGCGUCAUUUCAACCCUUAAGCCUUUGUUGACUUAGUGUUGGGAGCCUACGGCAGCGUAGCUCCUCAAAACCAGUGGCUGAGUCGGUUCACACUCUAGAUGUAGUAGAUUCUAUCUCGUCUGUGAGUUGGGCUGAUCUCUUGCCGUAAAACCCCCCAAAUUUUUCAAGGUUGACCUCGGAUCAGGUAGGAAUACCCGCUGAACUUAAGCAUAUCAAUA
Molecule: ribosomal RNA, 504 nt
Filed under: Xylaria schweinitzii
Lineage: Eukaryota; Fungi; Ascomycota; Sordariomycetes; Xylariales; Xylariaceae
Description: eukaryotic LSU rRNA
Rfam family: 5.8S ribosomal RNA (bases 140-293)
Source: RNAcentral